Molecule: non-coding RNA, 45 nt
Filed under: Schistosoma margrebowiei
Lineage: Eukaryota; Metazoa; Platyhelminthes; Trematoda; Strigeidida; Schistosomatidae
Source: RNAcentral
GUCUAAAUGAUGAGUCCCUAAUAGGACGAAACAUGUGUCUUGGAU